GAUGAACGCUAGCGGGAGGCCUAACACAUGCAAGCCGAGCGGUAUUGUUUCUUCGGAAAUGAGAGAGCGGCGUACGGGUGCGUAACACGUGUGCAACCUGCCUUUAUCUGGGGGAUAGCCUUUCGAAAGGAAGAUUAAUACUCCAUAAUAUAUUGAACGGCAUCGUUUAAUAUUGAAAGCUCCGGCGGAUAGAGAUGGGCACGCGCAAGAUUAGCUAGUUGGUGAGGUAACGGCUCACCAAGGCGAUGAUCUUUAGGGGGCCUGAGAGGGUGAUCCCCCACACUGGUACGGGGACACGGACCAGACUCCUACGGGAGGCAGCAGUGAGGAAUAUUGGUCAAUGGGUGCAAGCCUGAACCAGCCAUCCCGCGUGAAGGACGACUGCCCUAUGGGUUGUAAACUUCUUUUGUAUAGGGAUAAACCUACCCUCGAGAGGGUAGCUGAAGGUACUAUACGAAUAAGCACCGGCUAACUCCGUG
This 479-nucleotide ribosomal RNA is filed under the name uncultured bacterium. RNAcentral's name for it is "partial 16S ribosomal RNA". It matches the Rfam family "Bacterial small subunit ribosomal RNA", at positions 28 to 507 of the family's 1533-position model. The record is from RNAcentral.